Long non-coding RNA from Neltuma alba, 242 nucleotides. RefSeq lists it as uncharacterized. The transcript has 3 exons. NCBI's taxonomy places the organism in Eukaryota, Viridiplantae, Streptophyta, Magnoliopsida, Fabales, Fabaceae. The record is from RefSeq and is a predicted model, not a curated record.
AAACCAUAUCAGUUUCUUAGAAGAAGAGCCGGUGGUGGAGAUACUGCCCUUCACGCUGCCAUUAAGAGAGAGCAUUUCGAUUUGGCAUUCCACAUAAUCAAAAUGUGCCCAGAUCUUGUGGGCAAAUCCAAUGAGAAGGGAAUGACUCCUCUUCAUGUCCUUGCCAGCAAACCUUCUGCCUUCAGAAGCGGCCUGCGCCUCUCGUGGUGUAAGCAAAUUGUAUACUACUGUGUCCAUGUCGA